This 848-nucleotide ribosomal RNA is filed under the name Helvella alpina. RNAcentral's name for it is "partial large subunit ribosomal RNA". It matches the Rfam family "Eukaryotic large subunit ribosomal RNA", at positions 77 to 929 of the family's 3401-position model. The record is from RNAcentral. Lineage: Eukaryota; Fungi; Ascomycota; Pezizomycetes; Pezizales; Helvellaceae.
GCCUCAGUAACGGCGAGUGAAGCGGCAGGAGCUCAAAUUUUGAAUCCGGGGUCCCCGACCCCCGAGUUGUAAUUUGGAGAGGCAUCCUCCGGGAGGAGCGCUGGCCCAGGUUCCUUGGAACAGGACGUCACAGAGGGUGAGAAUCCCGUGCCAGGCCGGCUUCCUCCUCCAGGGUGGAGGGCCUUCGACGAGUCGAGUUGUUUGGGAAUGCAGCUCCAAGUGGGUGGUAGAUUUCAUCUAAAGCUAAAUACCGGCGGGAGACCGAUAGCGCACAAGUAGAGUGAUCGAAAGAUGAAAAGCACUUUGAAAAUAGAGUCAAAAAGUACGUGAAAUUGUUGAAAGGGAAGCGCUUGAGGCCAGACUCGGACCCGAGCAAACAUCGAGCCCCUCGGGGCCGUGCAAUUGCUCUGGGGACGGGCCAGCAUCGGUCGGCGUGGCGGGACAAAGGUGCGGGGAAUGUGGCUCCCCCCGGGGAGUGUUAUCAGGCCCGCGCCCCAUGCCGCCGACGCCGACCGUGGACCGCGCCCCGCUAACGGGCUAGGAUGCUGGCAUAAUGGCCUUCAGCGACCCGUCUUGAAACACGGACCAAGGAGUCUAACGUCUAUGCGAGUGUUUGGGCGUCAAACCCUUGCGCGGAAUGAAAGUGAGCGGAGGUGGGAACCCCUAGCCGGGCGCACCAUCGACCGAUCCUGAUGUCUUCGGAUGGAUUUGAGUAGGAGCAUAGCUGUUGGGACCCGAAAGAUGGUGAACUAUGCCUGAAUAGGGUGAAGCCAGAGGAAACUCUGGUGGAGGNUCGCAGCGGUUCUGACGUGCAAAUCGAUCGUCAAAUUUGGGUAUAGGGGCGAAAG